Aphanomyces cochlioides is the source of this 88-nucleotide non-coding RNA. NCBI's taxonomy places the organism in Eukaryota, Oomycota, Saprolegniomycetes, Saprolegniales, Verrucalvaceae. The record is from the annotation of a GenBank genome assembly.
UAUGGCUCAGUUGGUAGAGUGUCAGUCUCAUAAUCUGAAGGUAUGCAUUGGAUUGUUUGCGAAACAUGCAAUCCCAAGUUAAUGAAAA